GAUGAACGCUGGCGGCGUGCCUAAUACAUGCAAGUCGAGCGGACGGACGAGAAGCUUGCUUCUCUGAUGUUAGCGGCGGACGGGUGAGUAACACGUGGAUAACCUACCUAUCAGACUGGGAUAACUUCGGGAAACCGUAGCUAAUACCGUAUAAUAUUUUGAACCGCAUGGUUCAAAAGUGAAAGACGGUCUUGCGGUCACUUAUAGCUGGAUCCGCGCUGUAUUAGCGAGUUGGUAAGGUAACGGCCUACCAAGGCAACGAUGCGUAGCCGACCUGAGAGGGUGGUCGGCCACCCUGGAACUGAGCCAGCGUCCAGACUCCUACGGGACGCAGCAGUAGGGAAUCUUCCGCAAUGGGCGAAAGCCUUACGGAGCAACGCCGCGUGAGUGGUGAAGGUCUUCGGAUCGUAAAGCUCUGUUAUUAGUGAAGAACAGAUGUGUAAGUAGCUGUGCACAUCUUGACGGUACCUAGUCAGAAAGCCACGGCUAACUACGUG
This 497-nucleotide ribosomal RNA is filed under the name uncultured bacterium. RNAcentral's name for it is "partial 16S ribosomal RNA". It matches the Rfam family "Bacterial small subunit ribosomal RNA", at positions 28 to 507 of the family's 1533-position model. The record is from RNAcentral.